This 1767-nucleotide ribosomal RNA is filed under the name Skeletonema costatum. Its description in RNAcentral is "eukaryotic LSU rRNA". The stretch from base 1100 to 1767 matches the Rfam family "Eukaryotic large subunit ribosomal RNA", at positions 1 to 678 of the family's 3401-position model. Lineage: Eukaryota; Bacillariophyta; Thalassiosirophyceae; Thalassiosirales; Thalassiosiraceae. The record is from RNAcentral.
GUCGUAACAAGGUUUCCGUAGGUUCUUAGGAUCUCAUUGGUUCAUACUGCGGAAGAUAGUCGGACUGAAAAGGUUAUGCCGGCUAGUCUGAGCUUUUGCUCGGGCGACACUCCUGGAUGCGGGAAGCCCUCUAAUUGGUUCUUUUGCUACUAUCUCCACUUGGAAACUUGUGGAGAGAUCUCGGUUAAUGGCCGAACCCGAUAGUAAUCAACGCAAAAGAAUUUACGGGUAAUCCGCAGGCGAGCAGCUAAACCCGCUAUGAUAGGGCAUGCUGCCGUUUCAGAGACUGCAAAGGAGUGGGCUUAGCGUUCGAAUUGGCUAAUCACCAAUGAGCUGGGCCUAAGGUACAGUCCACGCCGUAGUAAUAGUAAAGCUACGGAUAUUGGGAUAACUGCUUGUCAGUUACUCAGUUUUAACGGAGGUGAACCUGCGGAAGGAUCAUUAUCACACUAUCCAAACCUUACUUCCCCGUGAAGAGGUGCUUGGUGCUUGUCUGCCGAUACACUGGCAGCGGGCGUCGGGUGCCAAACUUACAAAAACCAAAACCAGGCGCCAAAGCAGGCCCAGCCUCGGCUGGUUGGCUAGCCGCGGUGCCGCCCAUUACCGAACUGAAACUGUAACUGAAUCUAAACUGCCUUUGGAGCUAGUCUCUUCUGGCUGUAAAAUCUAUUACAACUUUUAGCAAUGGAUGUCUUGGGUCCCACAACGAUGAAGAACGCAGCGAAAUGCGAUACGUAAUGCGAAUUGCAGAACUUCGUGAAUCAUCAAAAUUUUGAACGCACAUUGCGCUACUGAGUAAUCUCAGUAGCAUGCUUCUCCGAGUGUCUCUAAACCCCACUCAGCCGCUGCUGCACUUUACUGUGCCCGCAGCGAGCUGGACUGUGAUGGUGUUUGGCCUCGCUGCCGAACUCCGUUCAAGUUCAUUGGUUUGUUGUUGACGCCCUCGCCGGCCGAACGCAGAUCGCAACUAGAUUUGGUAGGUGCACUUUAUGUGUAUUUUGAAUCUGGCUUGUGCUUUGCCAAGGCUAUCAAGAGCGUUUCCAGCGAAGUGGGCUUCUAGCAUUGCGCUGGCUUGCCCGGAAUGAAUGUACCUCAUCUUGGGUCUCGGCUGAAGCAAGACGACCGGCCGAAUUUAAGCAUAUAAUUAAGCCGAGGAAAAGAAACUAACAAGGAUUCCCCUAGUAACGGCGAGUGAAGCGGGAAGAGCUCACCAUGUGAAUCUGCGCAACCAGCAAUGGUGCGCCGAAUUGUGGUCUGAAGAAGUAUUGUCGGCCGUGAUUCCGGGCCAAGUCUCUUGGAAAAGGGCAGCUGAGAGGGUGAAACUCCCGUUCUUGCCUGGAAUCAUUGCGCUCUGGCACAUGCUUUCUACGAGUCGAGUUGCUUGGGAUUGCAGCUCAAAUUUGGUGGUAAAUUCCAUCUAAAGCUAAAUAUUGGUGGGACACCGAUAGUGUACAAGUACCGUGAGGGAAAGAUGCAAAGAACUUUGAAAAGAGAGUUAAAGAGUACCUGAAAUUGUUAAAAGGGAAGCGAAGGAAACCAGUGUUAAGCGAAGCCAUUCUUCCCAAGCUACUUGUGGUUUGGGCGCUGUGGUUAGCUGUAGUCAGCAUUGGCUUGAUCUGGGGGAAACGUUUAGUGGGUAGACGACUCUUCGGAGUGAGUGCCCACUCUUCAUAUCCUGGAUCGGGCUGAGGUCAGUCACUCUGUGCUCGUGAUGCUGUCGAAAUGGUUUUCUUUACCCCGUCUUGAAACACGGACCAAGGAGUCUAA